Long non-coding RNA from Macrosteles quadrilineatus (aster leafhopper), 1645 nucleotides. RefSeq lists it as uncharacterized. The transcript is spliced from 4 exons. The record is from RefSeq and is a predicted model, not a curated record. NCBI's taxonomy places the organism in Eukaryota, Metazoa, Arthropoda, Insecta, Hemiptera, Cicadellidae.
ACAAUUAAUUACUGUACUAAUGAAAAGCUGGCCAUUUUGACUAAGCAUUAAGUUAUUACUUUUAUAUUGUAAAUAUUUAUCUUUUUUAUUUCUUUCCUUGCUUACAGGAAAAUUAGUGACUCGUGUGUUACAAACAAUAGUUUUUAAGGGAAACAAUGUGAAAUAAUUUGUAUAGAUGAUCCUGGAGCAAAGGCAGUAAUUUGACCUGAACCCAAAUUGGUCUCUAUUUUAAAUAUUGUCUUGAACCAAUAAGUUAAGAGGACUAACCUUUCUGGACGACAUUGCCAUCGACAUCACAGCAGAUGAGAGAGAAAGAGAGACCAGAGUUGUGGACCCUGGAGGCAAUUACCAUACUGCCGUGAUAAUGUUCCUUGGUCUAACCAUAACUUAAGUGAGAACUGAAGCCUACCAGUAAAAUGGGGGCGUUGUAAUUAAUAUCCUCCGACAUUGGAGAAUACAGGGGAGAGGAGAUGGAGGAUGGGGCGAAGUAAAGACUAAGAUUGAAGAGAACUAACUAAUGGCCUGAUGACAGGGUGGAUGGCGAUGGAGGCAUGGAGGUUGGGGGAGAGGAGGCUGAAGAAGUGGAGACAAAUCAGUUUAGAUCCAUUAUGUUGAUUAGUUUAACAUUUAUUUUGAACAUCAGUAUUUAAAUUUUUUUCUCAUUUAGAUUAUUAAAUUAAAUUAAUUUUAUUGUUUUUAUGAAGAUGUUUUCUUACAUUUUUAAUAUUUGUUUGUACUUCUGCCUGGUAAAAAAAUACUGUUUUCCUACAGUUACCUAACAAUGUACAUGUUCUCUCACUGAUUUGAGAAAGCAAAGUGGCCAAUUCGCUCAUCAGUGAGACAAUGUUAACAUUGUCUCACUCUAAUUACUUUGUCUCACUCCAGAUUUGCAACGUGAAGGCACAAAAUAGUGAGCGCGUAACAUGCAGACAAGGUUGUAUGUGCGCGAAAUACGUUGGCAGCACUGGCUGUAAAUCAGCUGGUCAGCUGUUUUACUGUUGUAUCAUUAAAUGUCAUAUUAAAAGUUCACCUCUGUGUAAAAAUAUGUCACGUUUCUUUACCAAUUUAUUUGUUUUAUGGUAACUGUAGGAAAAAUAUAAUGUGCAGCUCGAGUGCGAAGUGCAAUUGCCUCACUCGAGAAACCAUUCCUCACUCGCCUACGGCUCGUGAGUAAGUAUUUCUCUCGAGUGAGUCAAUUUAUCACUUUGCUCACUAGUGGCACAAAUAACUAUUAUUAUCUUUGUUAAAAUGAUUACUUUCACUAACUGACCUUGUCUUGGGUAAAAAGCGAUAUCUUGAUAUUUUUCACUAGCGGGGUGCCUGUUCUAUGGGCGGGGAUUGUAUAAGUCAGUAGAAACCUUCUUAUAUUUCGAUACUUGGAAAAUUAAUCAUUUCCAACUUUAUAUAGUAUAGAUCGCUAUUCCUGUAUUGAUGUACUGAAAUGAAAUGUUGUUUUUUUUAUAUAUUUUGAUGACACACUAUUAAAAAGGCAUAGCAAUAUUCUAAAGUUUAUAACAGCUUAUGUUUGUGUUUUUAUUAAUGAUUUAUUGUGACUUUUGAGUGAUUGAAGGAUUUGUGAUUUGGUUUUAAGGAGAUUGAUGUACCUAAUUUUGUAUCUAUACUUAUUAAAUAGGUACGCAAGCAG